This 76-nucleotide transfer RNA is filed under the name Bacillota bacterium. RNAcentral describes it as "tRNA-Lys". It matches the Rfam family "tRNA". Rfam says of the family: Transfer RNA (tRNA) molecules are approximately 80 nucleotides in length. The record is from RNAcentral. RNAcentral also lists the same sequence under 2 other names. Lineage: Bacteria; Bacillati; Bacillota.
GGGUCAUUAGCUCAGCUGGUAGAGCAGCUGACUCUUAAUCAGCCUGUCCGGGGUUCGAAUCCCUGAUGGCCCACCA